RNAcentral lists this ribosomal RNA (207 nucleotides) under uncultured bacterium. RNAcentral's name for it is "partial 16S ribosomal RNA". It matches the Rfam family "Bacterial small subunit ribosomal RNA", at positions 568 to 774 of the family's 1533-position model. The record is from RNAcentral.
CUCGUAGGCGGUUCGUCGCGUCCGGUGUGAAAGUCCAUCGCUUAACGGUGGAUCCGCGCCGGGUACGGGCGGGCUUGAGUGCGGUAGGGGAGACUGGAAUUCCCGGUGUAACGGUGGAACGUGUAGAUAUCGGGAAGAACACCAAUGGCGAAGGCAGGUUUCUGGGCCGUUACUGACGCUGAGGAGCGAAAGCGUGGGGAGCGAACA